UGGUGAGGUAAAGGCUCACCAAGGCGACGAUGCGUAGCCGACCUGAGAGGGUGAUCGGCCACAUUGGAACUGAGACACGGUCCAGACUCCUACGGGAGGCAGCAGUGGGGAAUAUUGCACAAUGGGCGAAAGCCUGAUGCAGCAACGCCGCGUGAGUGAUGAAGGCCUUCGGGUUGUAAAGCUCUGUCUUUGGGGACGAUAAUGACGGUACCCAAGGAGGAAGCCACGGCUAACUACGUGCCAGCAGCCGCGGUAAUACGUAGGUGGCAAGCGUUGUCCGGAUUUACUGGGCGUAAAGGAUGCGUAGGCGGAUAUUUAAGUGAGAUGUGAAAUUCCCGGGCUUAACUUGGGAGCUGCAUUUCAAACUGGAUAUCUAGAGUGUGGGAGAGGAGAAUGGAAUUCCUAGUGUAGCGGUGAAAUGCGUAGAGAUUAGGAAGAACACCAGUGGCGAAGGCGAUUCUCUGGACCAUAACUGACGCUGAGGCAUGAAAGCGUGGGUAGCAAACAGGAUUAGAUACCCUGGUAGUCCACGCCGUAAACGAUGAGUACUAGGUGUAGGGGGGUCCAACCCUCUGUGCCGCAGUUAACACAAUAAGUACUCCGCCUGGGAAGUACGAUCGCAAGAUUAAAACUCAAAGGAAUUGACGGGGGCCCGCACAAGCAGCGGAGCAUGUGGUUUAAUUCGAAACAACGCGAAGAACCUUACCUGGACUUACAUCCCCUGAAUAGUGCAGAGAUGCAUGAAACCCUUCGGGGCAGGGAGACAGGUGGUGCAUGGUUGUCGUCAGCUCGUGUCGUGAGAUGUUAGGUUAAGUCCUGCAACGAGCGCAACCCUUAUCAUUAGUUGCUACCAUUAAGUUGAGCACUCUAGUGAGACUGCCCGGGUCAACCGGGAGGAAGGUGGGGAUGACGUCAAAUCAUCAUGCCCCUUAUGUCCAGGGCUACACACGUGCUACAAUGGUAGGUACAGAGAGAUGCAAGACCGUGAGGUGGAGCUAAACUCAAAAACCUAUCCCAGUUCGGAUUGUAGGCUGCAACUCGCCUACAUGAAGCCGGAGUUGCUAGUAAUCGCGAAUCAGAAUGUCGCGGUGAAUACGUUCCCGGGCCUUGUACACACCGCCCGUCACACCAUGAGAGCUGGCAACACCCGAAGUCCGUGAGGUAACCUGUAAAGGAGCCAGCGGCCGAAGGUGGGGUUAGUGAUUGGGGUGAAGUCGUAACAAGGUAGCCGUAGGAGAACCUGCGGCUG
This 1249-nucleotide ribosomal RNA is filed under the name metagenome. RNAcentral's name for it is "bacterial SSU rRNA". It matches the Rfam family "Bacterial small subunit ribosomal RNA", at positions 250 to 1520 of the family's 1533-position model. The record is from RNAcentral.